Molecule: transfer RNA, 73 nt
Filed under: Bos taurus (domestic cattle)
Lineage: Eukaryota; Metazoa; Chordata; Mammalia; Artiodactyla; Bovidae
Also listed under: 4 other names
Rfam family: tRNA
About the family: Transfer RNA (tRNA) molecules are approximately 80 nucleotides in length.
Source: Rfam by way of RNAcentral
UCCCUGGUGGUCCAGUGGUUAAGACUUGGCGCUUUCACUGCUGUGGGUUCAGGUUCAAUCCCUGAUUGAGGGA